UCCAAUUUCAUAUCAUUUCAGCUAAUCAUUACAUAAAUAGAGAGUUGGGAUUAAAUACCUAUAAGCAACAACCAAAAACUACCAAAUAUAAGAUGAAAAGAAACUGGCUGAACUUCAGAGGAAAAGGAACACCAAUAAUAAACCAGCACAGCAACAACAAGUCAAAUAGAUCUAAGAAAUUUAAAACCAAAUCCAAUCAGCUUUUAAAAUAAGAAAUCCCAGCUAAAGAACCCAAGAAAAAUCCUCUAUUUAAAACCAUGUCUUUCAACUUGUAAGACCAAGAAUAAGAAGUUUUGAAUGUUUCUAAAAUUUCUGAAAUCCGAUCCUUUUUUUAGAAAAGAAGAUAGAACUUUUGUGCAGUAAAAAUGAUGCUGAAUCUCUGUGUGUGAGUGAGGGACCGUUUCCGUUUUCUAGAAUGCACAAAAAGUCAUCAAAAGAGGAAUAUUAUAAUCCAAAAAUUCUGAAAAUUAGAAUAGUACAAUAUCUUUUACAGUUGUCUAUCCUUUUCCUUAUUCAAUAUCAGCAUUUUAGGCUAAGGAUAGAGAUAACUGUGAAAAGUCUAGAACAUUAUGGUAUUAGCC
Molecule: long non-coding RNA, 581 nt
Filed under: Nicotiana benthamiana
Lineage: Eukaryota; Viridiplantae; Streptophyta; Magnoliopsida; Solanales; Solanaceae
Description: long non-coding RNA (NBEN_LNC022147)
Source: RNAcentral